This is a non-coding RNA of Pelobates cultripes (western spadefoot toad), 229 nucleotides long. The record is from the annotation of a GenBank genome assembly. Lineage: Eukaryota; Metazoa; Chordata; Amphibia; Anura; Pelobatidae.
CUCAACAACAGAAAAGAAACACCUGCAAAAGAUCACUCGUUAUGUGGACACUGAAGGGAAAACACCUGCAAAAGAUCACUCAUUAUGUGGACACUGAAGGGAUAUAUAAGAACUGGGGAGGGAGGGAAAAUUUUUAUUGUUCACUGUUUAUUUGUACCUGUUGAUCACACACCAUACAAGUCCCUGAGGAAGUCCUAUUUGGUUGGAUGAAACGCAUAGGACCCCUGGU